RNAcentral lists this small RNA (31 nucleotides) under Bombyx mori (domestic silkworm). RNAcentral describes it as "ovarian small RNA-31450". Lineage: Eukaryota; Metazoa; Arthropoda; Insecta; Lepidoptera; Bombycidae. The record is from RNAcentral.
UGACAUCUCCGUAUGUCAUGCCCUUGGCUUA